This 670-nucleotide ribosomal RNA is filed under the name Verrucosispora sp. PC1010. Its description in RNAcentral is "bacterial SSU rRNA". It matches the Rfam family "Bacterial small subunit ribosomal RNA", at positions 47 to 729 of the family's 1533-position model. Lineage: Bacteria; Bacillati; Actinomycetota; Actinomycetes; Micromonosporales; Micromonosporaceae. The record is from RNAcentral.
AUUAAAAAAUCUUACAUGCAGUCGAGCGGAAGGCCCUUCGGGGUACUCGAGCGGCGAACGGGUGAGUAACACGUGAGCAACCUGCCCUAGGCUUUGGGAUAACCCUCGGAAACGGGGGCUAAUACCGAAUAUUCACUUGCGGGCGCAUGUUUGUGGGUGGAAAGUUUUUCGGCUUGGGAUGGGCUCGCGGCCUAUCAGCUUGUUGGUGGGGUGAUGGCCUACCAAGGCGACGACGGGUAGCCGGCCUGAGAGGGCGACCGGCCACACUGGGACUGAGACACGGCCCAGACUCCUACGGGAGGCAGCAGUGGGGAAUAUUGCACAAUGGGCGGAAGCCUGAUGCAGCGACGCCGCGUGAGGGAUGACGGCCUUCGGGUUGUAAACCUCUUUCAGCAGGGACGAAGCGCGAGUGACGGUACCUGCAGAAGAAGCGCCGGCCAACUACGUGCCAGCAGCCGCGGUAAGACGUAGGGCGCGAGCGUUGUCCGGAUUUAUUGGGCGUAAAGAGCUCGUAGGCGGCUUGUCGCGUCGACUGUGAAAACCCACGGCUCAACUGUGGGCUUGCAGUCGAUACGGGCAGGCUAGAGUUCGGUAGGGGAGACUGGAAUUCCUGGUGUAGCGGUGAAAUGCGCAGAUAUCAGGAGGAACACCGGUGGCGAAGGCGGGUCUC